This 412-nucleotide long non-coding RNA is filed under the name Struthio camelus australis. RNAcentral's name for it is "lncRNA (ENSSCUG00000000646.1)". The record is from RNAcentral. Lineage: Eukaryota; Metazoa; Chordata; Aves; Struthioniformes; Struthionidae.
UCUUUGAAAAGUAACUUCUUAUAAGUGCUUACUUGUCUCACUCAUGCCCUCUCUGAAUAUGUAGUUUCCGGGAAGUACCACACAGUCUUCAGCUAUCAUCGGGAGCUUUGCGAGGGCCGUGGAUGGAAGUUAAUCAUUCAUUAAACUACAAUAUGGCUUGCAAGGCUUGGGAAUGAGAUGUACUGCACAGCUGCAUAUAUUCCUCAUCUGCAGGUAGAAAUCCCCCUAAAGAAGCCUUUUUGGAAGGUUUUGAAUCCUGUCCUGCCUAAAAUCACCGAAAACCUAUUAAGAUAAUUUUCUUGUUGAACACUAUGUGAAGAAAUUUACAUGUUGGGGAGGAUCUUAAGUUUCCUGAAGAAAUUUCACGGGCUAUAGACUUUUGAUAUUAUGUUAUUUCAGAUUUUUUUUAGAG